GUACUACUUUCGAGUGUACAUAUGAAAAAAUUGGAACGAUAAUGAGAAGAUUAGCAUGCCCCUGCAAGGAUGACACGCACAAUUGUGAAGCCUUCUUCUAUUUU
Styela clava is the source of this 104-nucleotide small nuclear RNA. The record is from RefSeq and is a predicted model, not a curated record. Lineage: Eukaryota; Metazoa; Chordata; Ascidiacea; Stolidobranchia; Styelidae.